RNAcentral lists this ribosomal RNA (402 nucleotides) under uncultured bacterium. Its description in RNAcentral is "bacterial SSU rRNA". It matches the Rfam family "Bacterial small subunit ribosomal RNA", at positions 355 to 774 of the family's 1533-position model. The record is from RNAcentral.
UGGGGAAUAUUGGACAAUGGGCGCAAGCCUGAUCCAGCCAUGCCGCGUGAGUGAUGAAUGCCUUAGGGUUGUAAAGCUCUUUUAGCGGGGAAGAUAAUGACGGUACCCGCAGAAAAAGCCCCGGCUAACUUCGUGCCAGCAGCCGCGGUAAUACGAGGGGGGCUAGCGUUGCUCGGAAUUACUGGGCGUAAAGCGCACGUAGGCGGACUCUUAAGUCGGUGGUGAAAUCCUGGAGCUCAACUCCAGAACUGCCUUCGAUACUGGGAGUCUUGAGUUCGGGAGAGGUGAGUGGAACUGCGAGUGUAGAGGUGAAAUUCGUAGAUAUUCGCAAGAACACCAGUGGCGAAGGCGGCUCACUGGCCCGAUACUGACGCUGAGGUGCGAAAGCGUGGGGAGCAAACA